This 681-nucleotide ribosomal RNA is filed under the name Triticum aestivum (bread wheat). RNAcentral describes it as "partial small subunit ribosomal RNA". The record is from RNAcentral. Lineage: Eukaryota; Viridiplantae; Streptophyta; Magnoliopsida; Poales; Poaceae.
AUGCCCAAGCGCACCAUGGGAGGGAGGGCCGACGCCGGGGCCGACGCCAUGGUGUCACCUACGCCGGAGUCGGUGGCUCCUCCGCCGGAGCAGGUGACUCCUCUGCCACGCCAUCAGCCUCCUCUGCCACGCCAUCUGCGUCCUCUGCCGCAGCCCGUGGUGAACGUCGACGGCGACGACCACGAAGAAGAGGUCAUUAUGUGGGACCAGGUAGCUGCUCUGGCUCCUCAGACGGAGCAGGUGACGCCUCCUGUGCCCGAGCCUGUGGUCGUCAGCGAUGUCAACCAAGAAGACCCUCAGCCGUGUGUUCGUCUGCCGCGGUUGUUGCCUCCCCUGCCCCCACCUGUGGUCGUCGCCGAUGAGAACGAAGAAGAGGUUUUCUCUGGUCAGUACAAGGCAAAUAAGGUCCUAAGUGAUGAUGUCGACAGCGACCCAGAAACCCAGGGGAUCUACAGGAGGCAGAAGGUGAGGGAGCUGGACAGUGGUGUGCUCGAGAAACGUGUCAGGCCAAGAAUCGGAAGGGGGGGCUACGGAUGCCCUUACUGCAACAAGCUGAUGAAAGGCGACCUGUCGAGUACCAUCAACCAUGCAGUCGGAACAUCCCAAGGCAUCAUAAAGAAUGGCUACGCUUUCAGGGUGAAGCACGCCGCGUAUGCCGACUACUUGAUGAGGCUUCUUUGA